Molecule: long non-coding RNA, 2281 nt
Filed under: Homo sapiens (human)
Lineage: Eukaryota; Metazoa; Chordata; Mammalia; Primates; Hominidae
Description: HSALNT0074025
Source: RNAcentral
CACUGAUACUGUGAAAGAGCUGCUGAAUAAAGCCGUGUCUCAUCUACCUGCUGUCUCCCAAGUGUUCUUCCAGCUCCCUGCCCCUCAUCAACCCACUCUCCUCAGACCUCAGCUGGGGCUUGAACCUGAUAAUUGGUGUAGUCAUCAGGAUGAGCUGUACCCUUCAUCACGAAUUUGAUGGACUGCUUGACAAUGGAACUGGAAGAGUACCACUUUGUGGUGGACUUAGCUAAUGCAGUCUUCUCCAUUGACAUUGCUCCAGAGAGCCAGGAGAAGUUUGUCUUCACGUGGGAAGGAUGACAAUGGACUUUCACCAUGCUGCCACAGGGCUGUGUGCAUAGCCCCACCAUUUGUCCUGGUCUUGUUGCCAUGGAUUUAGCUGCCUGGAAAUGCCCAAAAGGGGUCUGCCUGUUUCAUUACAUUGAUGAUAUGUUAACCUCUGAUUCUCUCACAGAUUUAGAAGUGGUGGUGCCCCUCUUGUGACAGCAUUUGGCAGUGUGCAGUUGGGCCAUCAAUAAAUCCAAGGUCCAAGGGCCGGAAUUGUCUGCCAAAUUCUUGGGAGUUAUUUGCUCAGGUUGGACCUGGUGCUUCAAAUCUUGAAAAUGUGGCCAUGGAAAGGUGGCCCGGCCCCGGUGGAGGCACUGUUACACCAGGCCACUGCCCCCAUCCAACUACAGAUACACACCAAGGAUGACCUCCUCUGACCAGCCACAGGUUGGCAUGCUCCAACAACAUUGUGGACUGGGCUCACACCUAUGCUGAGGUGGCCAAUGUCUCCAACUGUUAGAUCUGCACCACCCUUCCAGCAGCAGCUGUGGAUGGCUUGCCUUGGCAUGUGCAUCCAGCUUUUGUGAAGAACUGGACAUGGCUAGAAACUUGGGGUCCCACAGACAAUGGGCGGGAUGCAACAUGGUGAGCUUUGGAUGGGGGUGUCACAAAACCCAUGGCAAGCCUGCCCCCUGGCUGACUCAUAGCAUCCAUGAUGAAUGGGGCUGGCUAAUGGGAGAAAACAUGGUGGCCCCAUUGCAAGUACCACGAUGUAUAGAGCAACACUGGGGUAAGGUCACUGUGGGAUGGUUGCCUGCUGAGACCUGUGCAAACGUAACACAUGCCACCAUGCCAAGGAUGUGGUGGAACAAGCAGCCCUACCAAGGCUGGGCCCCCAUGGACUUUGUGCCUGCUGGGAGUUUAUAGGUCUGUGGGGACAUAGGAUGGCCAUAUCUGCCAGCCAACUAGACUGGACAUUGUACCUGGGAGUGGCCUUCUGUGCCUGCCACUGUGCUUCCCACAUUGCUUAGUCACACACAUAACUGGGAGGUGCUGUGUUCCCAGUUUUUGUGAGUGCAUUGAGCCCCUAGUGGUUCUACCCCUUAGCAAUAACUGUCCCUGGAACAGGUGUCAUCACUGUAGAAAUGCAGGUUACAGCCCUUGCAGAACACAGAGAUUGGGCCCAUGAAUUACACCUGAGCUGCCCUCCUUUUGUUAAUUGAUGAGUUUGAUCAGAUCAGGAAGGUGGUGAUGCAAAACCGGAUGGCCUUAGACAUAGUCACAGCUGCUCAAGGUGGCACCUGUGCCCUUGUAGGGACAGAGUGUUGUACAUUCAUCCCUGACAACCACCAGAACAUAGUGGCAGCUUUGCAGGGGGUGUCAUGUCAUAGGAGAUUAAGGCAAUUGAAUACCUUACUGAUGACCGCCUGCAGAGAUGGUGGGUGUCUCUGGGCUCUGGCCUACACUGGGCUCUUAUAAUCAUAGGUAGCAUAGCAGGAAUAUUAGUAGUAGGUUGUUGCUCUCUUUAUUGUUGCUGUGGCCUCUGGGUCCAGGGUGCUCCCCUAUGUGCACGAGUUCCCAUUAAGAGGACCCCCUUGGCCUAGGGGGCGGAGUGUAAGGAACAUGGCUGUGUUGCUGCCAGGCAGGCAUAGGCCGAGGUAAAAAUCCUGCAUGACACAGUGGGAUUAGAGCACACGCGCGCAAUCCUGUGCCUGAUAUAAUCACAGCUAGGUAGACAUAACACAGAGAAGCUCAUCAUUUGGCUCUCAGCCACUAUCAUUUGUGAGGUGUACAAAUGUAACACUGACACUGUGAAAGAGCUGCUGAAUAAAGCCAUGUCUCAUCUACCUGCUCUCUCUCGAGUGUUCUUCCAGCUCCCUGCCCCCCGCCCCAUCUACCCACACCCCUCUGACCUCAGCUGGGGCUUGAAACUGACAUUUGCUUUAUUGUACUUUGCAGAUACUUAAAAAAAAAACCAAAUUAAAGUUUUGUGGCAACCCUGUGUUGAGCAAGC